AGUGAACGCUGGCGGCAGGCCUAACACAUGCAAGUCGAACGGAAGCACAGUACGUGCUUCCUGUUACGGGUGGCGAUUGGCGGGCGGGUGCGGAAAACCUCCGUAUCUACUUUUUCGUGGGGGCUAACGUAGGGACACUUACGCUAAUACCGCAUACGACCUACGGGUGAAAGCAUGGGACCUUCUGCCCUUGCGCGAUUGAAUGAGCCGAUGUCGGAUUAGCUAGUUGGCGGGGUAAAGGCCCACCAAGGCGACGCUCCGUAGCUGGUCUGAGAGGAUGAUCAGCCACACUGGAACUGAGACACGGUCCAGACUCCUACGGGAGGCAGCAGUGGGGAAUAUUGGACAAUGGGCGAAAGCCUGAUCCAGCCAUGCCGCGUGGGUGAAGAAGGCCUUCGGGUUGUAAAGCCCUUUAGGUGGGAAAGAAAAGCAGUAGGUUAAUACCCCGCUGUUCUGACGGUACCCAAAGAAUAAGCACCGGCUAACUUCGUG
RNAcentral lists this ribosomal RNA (492 nucleotides) under uncultured bacterium. RNAcentral's name for it is "partial 16S ribosomal RNA". It matches the Rfam family "Bacterial small subunit ribosomal RNA", at positions 29 to 507 of the family's 1533-position model. The record is from RNAcentral.